AAAAAAAAAAAAAAAAAAAAAAGUUUCUCACAGCCUUAAAUCCUUUAUUUUUUGAUUCAUUCUUCUCACUUCCUCACAUGUCAUUCCUGGUAACAGUGGCAUGAAAUGUUUUUAUUUGGAUUGUCUGCCCCCUCACACACACACAGUAUUUCAGCUAUUGUUUAUUCCUUGAUACUACCGUCCCUCCCUCUUUGGGACAGGAUCUCUACAUACCCAAGCUGAUCUUGAACUUGCUGUAUAGUCCAGACUGGCCUCACACUUGCUAUCCAAGUGCUUUGCUCUCUUGACUACUGUGACUACAGAGUUGUAACACCAUAGCUAGCUUAUUUUCUUUUAUGGAUAACUUUUAGAUAUUAAGUUAGUAAAUAUUUUGGAUUUUUUCACUUUAAAACUAACAUAAACAGUUGUGAACAUUUAUGUUUAAACUUUUGUGUAAGACAUUUGCUUUCAUUUCUCUUUGGUAUAUGCAUAGGAGAGGAAUUGCUGAGUUUAUAGGGUAGCUUUGACCAGCAUCUUGAAAACCUAUUAUUUUCCCAGUUUCUAGAGUAGCUGUAUCACUUUGUAGUUCUACCAGAAAUGUAACAUGUAUUUCAUCCUCAUUCUGUCUUCUCCUCAUCCUCACCAACGCCUGUUAGUCUUUCUAUCGUAGUCAUCCUAGUUCGUUUCAAGUGGCACAUCAUGUGUAUUUACGUCUCCUUAAUGACAGUGAGAGUCUGCAUGUACUUAGGAUAUUACCCACCUUUUCCUUCUUGAUGCUCUCUUCUCUCCUUUCCAGGAGUAUUUUAUAUAGCAUUUUUUACUUUUAUGUGUAUGUGUUUGGGUGUAUGUACGUGAUUGCAAGUAGAGACCGGAGGCUUUGGAUCACCCUGAAACUAGAGUUAUAAGUGAGCUACCUGAUGUAGAUACUGGGAAUUGGACUGCAAGAGCAGUACACACUUCACCGAGCCGUCUCUCUGGCUCUUAUUCUUUUCUUACUACUUCAGCUCCUAUAUGUCCACUGAUGCCCCUAUCUUUUGUCUCCAUCAAUUCAAGGCUUCAUAGCUUUGUUUCCAGGUAUUUGCUAGACAUGACAGUUCUUGUCCUACUAGCAAUUCAUUAUCUGAUUGCCUAUGUAGAUAAAUAGUUUUGCUGGCUGCCUAGUUAUACAACCUAGAAAUUUUAGUCACAAUUGAUACCAUACACCUUUUCUCACACUCAUAGCAAAGUCCUCUAAACUAUACUAUCUGCAUUUUUUAACUUGUCCCUUUCCUUUUUGUUACCCUUGCUACUUGGUUAAUUGGAGCCCUUGCUAUCUCUUGUUUAACCUCUUGCAACAGUUUUCAAAUAGUGUUUUUGCUUUAAUUCUUCCUAUUGUUGAAGUUCACAUCCUAUAUAUAUAUGUGUGUGUAUCAAAACUAAUUGUGGCCCUGAUGAAAUGCACUGCAGCAUGUUUAUAUGAAUUUGAUUAAUUACUUCUGUGUCUUUGUUCCUUCUCUCUGGAAUGUCUUUCCUAUUGUAUGCCUGUUGAACUUCUAUUCUUUAAUGACUAACUAAAUGUUAGAACAAGCCUUCCCUACUGCCCCCCAAAGCAGAAUUUUUGCUUUCUUUUUUAAUAUACUAAAGAUUGAGCCCAGAACCUCCAGCAUGCUAGGCAACUACUCUACCUUUUAGCUAUAGGCCAGCCUCCCUUUUAGUUUUUAUUUUGGAAUGAGGCCUUGCUAAGUUGCACAGGCUAGCCUUGAACUUUUCUUGUAGUCCAGCUUGAAUUUAAACUUGCAACCUAUGUCUCAGCGUCCUGAGUAGCU
This 1784-nucleotide long non-coding RNA is filed under the name Mus musculus (house mouse). RNAcentral's name for it is "long non-coding RNA chrX:101571811-101573595". The record is from RNAcentral. Lineage: Eukaryota; Metazoa; Chordata; Mammalia; Rodentia; Muridae.